This 204-nucleotide ribosomal RNA is filed under the name uncultured bacterium. RNAcentral describes it as "partial 16S ribosomal RNA". It matches the Rfam family "Bacterial small subunit ribosomal RNA", at positions 524 to 727 of the family's 1533-position model. The record is from RNAcentral.
UACAGAGGAGCCAAGCGUUGUCCGGAUUGACUGGGCGUAAAGCGCACGCAGGCGGAUGCGCGCGUGGGGUGUGAAAUCUGGCCGCUUAACGGCCAGGCGCCAUCCCAUACGGCGCGUCUGGAGUGAUGCAGAGGUCGGUGGAAUUGCCGGUGUAGUGGUGAAAUGCGUAGAGAUCCGGAGGAACCCCAGAGGCGAAGGCGGCGC